GAUGAACGCUGGCUACAGGCUUAACACAUGCAAGUCGAGGGGAAACGGCGUUGAGUGCUCGCACUCUUCGGACGUCGACCGGCGCACGGGUGAGUAACGCGUAUCCAACCUUCCCGUCACUGCGGGAUAACCUGCCGAAAGGCAGACUAAUACCGCAUGGCCUUCACUGACGGCAUCAGAGGUGAAGUAAAGCUUUUUUUGCGGCGACGGACGGGGAUGCGUCUGAUUAGCUGGUUGGCGGGGCGACGGCCCACCAAGGCGACGAUCAGUAGGGGUUCUGAGAGGAAGGUCCCCCACAUUGGAACUGAGACACGGUCCAAACUCCUACGGGAGGCAGCAGUGAGGAAUAUUGGUCAAUGGGCGGAAGCCUGAACCAGCCAAGUAGCGUGCAGGACGACGGCCCUACGGGUUGUAAACUGCUUUUAUGCGGGGAUAAAGUGAGGGACGCGUCCCUUUUUGCAGGUACCGCAUGAAUAAGGACCGGCUAAUUCCGUGCCAGCAGCCGCGGUAAUACGGAAGGUCCGGGCGUUAUCCGGAUUUAUUGGGUUUAAAGGGAGCGUAGGCCGGGGAUUAAGUGUGUUGCGAAAUGUAGGCGCUCAACGUCUGAUGUGCAGCGCAUACUGGUCCCCUUGAGUACGCGCAACGCCGGCGGAAUUCGUCGUGUAGCGGUGAAAUGCUUAGAUAUGACGAAGAACCCCGAUUGCGAAGGCAGCCGGCGGGAGCGCAACUGACGCUGAAGCUCGAAGGUGCGGGUAUUGAACAGGAUUAGAUACCCUGGUAGUCCGCACGGUAAACGAUGGAUGCCCGCUCUCGGCGCCUGGCGCCGGGGGCCAAGCGAAAGCGUUAAGCAUCCCACCUGGGGAGUACGCCGGCAACGGUGAAACUCAAAGGAAUUGACGGGGGCCCGCACAAGCGGAGGAACAUGUGGUUUAAUUCGAUGAUACGCGAGGAACCUUACCCGGGCUUGAAUUGCAGAGGAACGAUUUAGAGAUAAUGACGCCCUUCGGGGUCUCUGCGACCGUGCUGCAUGGGUGUCGUCAGCCUGUGCCGUGAGGUGUCGGCGUAAGUGCCAUAGCGAGCGCAACCCCAUCUUCUAGUUUGCAUCGGGGUAUUGCCCGGGCACCCCUGAAAAAUCCUGCCACCCGAUAAGGGUUUGAGGAAAGGGUCGGGAAUACGUCUAAUUACCACGGG
RNAcentral lists this ribosomal RNA (1191 nucleotides) under Prevotella sp. oral taxon G54. Its description in RNAcentral is "bacterial SSU rRNA". It matches the Rfam family "Bacterial small subunit ribosomal RNA", at positions 28 to 1199 of the family's 1533-position model. Lineage: Bacteria; Pseudomonadati; Bacteroidota; Bacteroidia; Bacteroidales; Prevotellaceae. The record is from RNAcentral.